This 340-nucleotide ribosomal RNA is filed under the name uncultured Flavobacterium sp. RNAcentral's name for it is "bacterial SSU rRNA". It matches the Rfam family "Bacterial small subunit ribosomal RNA", at positions 1 to 346 of the family's 1533-position model. Lineage: Bacteria; Pseudomonadati; Bacteroidota; Flavobacteriia; Flavobacteriales; Flavobacteriaceae. The record is from RNAcentral.
GUCAGAGUUUGAUCCUGGCUCAGGAUGAACGCUAGCGGCAGGCUUAACACAUGCAAGUCGAGGGGUAUUGGUUUUCGGACCAAGAGACCGGCGCACGGGUGCGUAACGCGUAUGCAAUCUACCUUUUACAGAGGGAUAGCCCAGAGAAAUUUGGAUUAAUACCUCAUAGUAUGUGAGAAUCGCAUGGUUUUCACAUUAAAGUUCCAACGGUAAAAGAUGAGCAUGCGUCCCAUUAGCUAGAUGGUAAGGUAACGGCUUACCAUGGCGACGAUGGGUAGGGGAACUGAGAGGUCAAUCCCCCACACUGGCACUGAGAUACGGGGCCAGACUCCGUACGGGA